UACGGAGGGGACUAGCGUUGUUCGGAAUUACUGGGCGUAAAGCGCGCGUAGGCGGAUUUGCAAGUCGGGGGUGAAAGCCCGAGGCUCAACCUCGGAACUGCCCUUGAUACUGGGAGCCUUGAGUUCGGGAGAGGUGAGUGGAACUGCGAGUGUAGAGGUGAAAUUCGUAGAUAUUCGCAAGAACACCAGUGGCGAAGGCGGCUCACUGGCCCGAUACUGACGCUGAGGUGCGAAAGCGUGGGGAGCAAACAGG
Molecule: ribosomal RNA, 253 nt
Filed under: uncultured bacterium
Lineage: Bacteria
Description: partial 16S ribosomal RNA
Rfam family: Bacterial small subunit ribosomal RNA
Source: RNAcentral